CCAGCGAACUUGGCAGAGAUGCCUUGGUGCCUUCGGGAACGCUGAGACAGGUGCUGCAUGGCUGUCGUCAGCUCGUGCUGUGAAAUGUUGGGUUAAGUCCCGCAACGAGCGCAACCCUUUAUCCUUUGUUGCCAGCGAUUCGGUCGGGAACUCAAAGGAGACUGCCGGUGAUAAACCGGAGGAAGGUGGGGAUGACGUCAAGUCAUCAUGGCCCUUACGAGUAGGGCUACACACGUGCUACAAUGGCGCAUACAAAGAGAAGCGACCUCGCGAGAGCAAGCGGACCUCAUAAAGUGCGUCGUAGUCCGGAUCGGAGUCUGCAACUCGACUCCGUGAAGUCGGAAUCGCUAGUAAUCGUGGAUCAGAAUGCCACGGUGAAUACGUUCCCGGGCCUUGUACACACCGCCCGUCACACCAUGGGAGUGGGUUGCAAAAGAAGUAGGUAGCUUAACCUCCGGGAGGGCGCUUACCACUUUGUGAUUCAUGACUGGGGUGAAGUCGUAACAAGGUAAGCGUAGCGAG
RNAcentral lists this ribosomal RNA (522 nucleotides) under uncultured bacterium. Its description in RNAcentral is "bacterial SSU rRNA". It matches the Rfam family "Bacterial small subunit ribosomal RNA", at positions 988 to 1509 of the family's 1533-position model. The record is from RNAcentral.